This 500-nucleotide ribosomal RNA is filed under the name uncultured bacterium. RNAcentral describes it as "partial 16S ribosomal RNA". It matches the Rfam family "Bacterial small subunit ribosomal RNA", at positions 30 to 523 of the family's 1533-position model. The record is from RNAcentral.
AUUGAACGCUGGCGGCAUGCUUUACACAUGCAAGUCGAACGGUAACAGGGUGCUUGCACCGCUGACGAGUGGCGAACGGGUGAGUAAUGCGUCGGAACGUGCCGAGUAGUGGGGGAUAACGCAGCGAAAGUUGUGCUAAUACCGCAUACGUACUGAGGUAGAAAGUGGGGGACCUUCGGGCCUCACGCUAUUCGAGCGGCCGACGUCUGAUUAGCUAGUAGGUGAGGUAAAGGCUCACCUAGGCGAGGAUCAGUAGCGGGUCUGAGAGGAUGAUCCGACACACUGGGACUGAGACACGGCCCAGACUCCUACGGGAGGCAGCAGUGGGGAAUUUUGGACAAUGGGCGAAAGCCUGAUCCAGCCAUGCCGCGUGUCUGAAGAAGGCCUUCGGGUUGUAAAGGACUUUUGUCAGGGAGGAAAUCCCUAGUGCUAAUAACACUGGGGGAUGACAGUACCUGAAGAAUAAGCACCGGCUAACUACGUGCCAGCAGCCGCGGUAA